CCUACGGGUGGCAGCAGUGGGGAAUAUUGGGCAAUGGGCGCAAGCCUGACCCAGCAACGCCGCGUGAAGGAAGAAGGCUUUCGGGUUGUAAACUUCUUUUCUCAGGGACGAAGCAAGUGACGGUACCUGAGGAAAAAGCAUCGGCUAACUCCGUGCCAGCAGCCGCGGUAAGACGGAGGAUGCGAGCGUUAUCCGGAUUUAUGGGGGUAAAGGGGUGCGGAGGCGGACUGGAAAGUCAGAGGUAAAAUCGAGAGGUUCAACCUCUUUCCGCCGUUGAAACUGUCGGUCUUGAGUAGGCGAGAGGUAUGCGGAAUGCGUGGUGUAGCGGUGAAAUGCAUAGAUAUCACGCAGAACUCCGAUUGCGAAGGCAGCAUACCGGCGCCCGACUGACGCUGAGGCACGAAAGCGUGGGUAUCGAACAGGAUUAGAUACCCGAGUAGUC
Molecule: ribosomal RNA, 442 nt
Filed under: uncultured bacterium
Lineage: Bacteria
Description: partial 16S ribosomal RNA
Rfam family: Bacterial small subunit ribosomal RNA
Source: RNAcentral